Non-coding RNA from Macaca mulatta (Rhesus monkey), 1058 nucleotides. The record is from RefSeq and is a predicted model, not a curated record. Lineage: Eukaryota; Metazoa; Chordata; Mammalia; Primates; Cercopithecidae.
CCCAAAAUGCUGGGAUUAUAGGCAUGAGCUACCAUGCCCAGCCAAGGAAGUAUCUUCUAUUUCUAGUUUGUUGAGUGUGUUUAUCACGAAAAGGUGUCAGAUUUGGUUAAAUGAUUUUUCCACGUCCAUUGAGAUAAUCAUGGAUUUUUUUUCUUUGUUCUAGGAAUGUGGUGUGUUACAUUAAUUGACUUUCAGAUAUUAAAAAGAUAUUUAUCCCCUGCAUUCAGAUAAAUUCCAGUUGGUCAUGGAGUAUCUCUCUUCCUGGAUUCAGAAGAUCGGUGUUCACUAUACCAUCCAGGCUGGUCACCAACUCCUGGCUUCAACUGAUCCUCCCACCUCAAGCCUCCUGAGUAGCUGGGAUCACAGGCACAAGCCAGUGGACCCAGCUUUAAUUGUUUAAGUGUUUGGUAGAAUUCAUUAUUGAAGCCAUUUGGGUCUGGGCUUUUUUGAUUACUAAUUCAAUCUCUAUUUGUUAUAGGUCUUUCCAGAUCUUCUGUUUGUGUCUUUAGAGGAAUUUGUCCAUUUUAUUUAAGUUACAGUGUUUUGGGCCUAAGCAAUUUUAAGGAGAAAGUUAUCCUUAACCAAGAUGGGAAAGGUCAGGGCAGGGUAGUGCAGGGAUUUUACCUCCCACCGGGUCCCUCCCACAAACUCCCCCUAAUAUAAUACCAGCGGAGUUUGGGCUGUGGCUUUGGAUGUGUUGAGUCUCAGAUGCCUGUUGGACCCCCUCAUGGAAACGCUGGUGGGUGGUUGGAUGAACAACUCACCGGCGUGGCCCAUGUUGGAGACUGGGAAUUGUGACCACAGAGAGAGCCUUUAGAGCUGUCAGACAGGAAGAGGCACCAAGGAGCCAUUGCUGAGGUGGAGGGGAAGUUGAGGCGUGGUGCUUGGGCCUAGGGGCAGCACUUGGGAGUAGCCAGCCUGAAAGGUUGAGGGGUCUCCAGCUUACGGCCUGGGAGCUGACUCAGAUUUGGCGAGUGCAGGUUUUGUGGAAUGGUGGUGUAUUAGUCCGUUUUCACAAUGCUAAUAAAGACACACCCGAGACUGGGCAAUUUACAAAA